GAUGAACGCUGGCGGCGUGCCUAAUACAUGCAAGUCGAGCGAACAGACGCGGAGCUUGCUCCUCUGACGUUAGCGGCAGACGUGUGAGUCACACGUGGAUAACCUACCUAUCAGACUGGGAUAACUUCGGAAAACCGGAGCUAAUAGCGGAUAAUAUCUUGAACCGCAUUGUUCAAUAGUAAAAGACGGUUUUGCUGUCACUACUAGAUGGAUCCGCGCCGGAUUAGCUAGUUGGUAAGGUACCGGCCUACCAAGGCAAACAUGCGCCAGCGACGUGACGGGGUGAUAGCCCACACUGGAACUGGGACACGGUCCAGACUCCUACGGGAGGCAGCAGUAGGGAAUCUUACGCAAUGGGCGAAAGCCUGACAGAGUAACGCGGCGUGAGUUAUGAAGGUCUUCGGAUCGUAAAACUCUGUUAUUAGGGAAGAACAAAUGUGUAAGUAACUAUGCACGUCUUGACGGUACCUAAUCAGAAAGCCCCGGCUAACUACGUG
RNAcentral lists this ribosomal RNA (497 nucleotides) under uncultured bacterium. Its description in RNAcentral is "partial 16S ribosomal RNA". It matches the Rfam family "Bacterial small subunit ribosomal RNA", at positions 28 to 507 of the family's 1533-position model. The record is from RNAcentral.